CUGUGAUCACCACUCGCAUCACCUGCUAGUGGCCAGGAGAUAAUUAUGCAUCCCAUUUAGAGACACACAGGAAUCUAUAACUGCAACCAGUUUUGAUAGGUACCACUCCAGGAACAGGUGAGGACUCUCUAUAAGAGGAAAGUAAUGGAGGAAGGGAUGAUGUGCCUGGUGCUCCUGCUCUGCAAAUCUCUAGUAAUCAUGACCCUCAGAACUGGAGUCAGUGUUAGACUGUCAUCCAGGGUGAAGAGUUAGCUUUAUGAAGACCAUCUCUUCAGGACUGGUAGAUGAGUCUUCGGGGAGGUCCUGGUAAGGAACAUGGAACUAAUAAGCCACCACCAACCGGAAGAGUU
Long non-coding RNA from Bubalus bubalis (water buffalo), 350 nucleotides. RefSeq lists it as uncharacterized. NCBI's taxonomy places the organism in Eukaryota, Metazoa, Chordata, Mammalia, Artiodactyla, Bovidae. The record is from RefSeq and is a predicted model, not a curated record. The transcript is spliced from 3 exons.